RNAcentral lists this ribosomal RNA (232 nucleotides) under Deinococcales bacterium. RNAcentral's name for it is "partial 16S ribosomal RNA". It matches the Rfam family "Bacterial small subunit ribosomal RNA", at positions 1310 to 1533 of the family's 1533-position model. Lineage: Bacteria; Thermotogati; Deinococcota; Deinococci; Deinococcales. The record is from RNAcentral.
ACUCGACUGCAUGAAGUUGGAAUCGCUAGUAAUCGCGGAUCAGCCAUGCCGCGGUGAAUACGUUCCCGGGUCUUGUACACACCGCCCGUCAAACCAUGGGAGUGGGUUGCACCCGAAGACGCGUAGUCUCGCCAAUGGGACGCGCGUUUAAGGUGUGGCUCAUGACUGGGGUUAAGUCGUAACAAGGUAACUGUACCGGAAGGUGCGGUUGGAUCACCUCCUUUCUAAGGAG